GUAGGGUGCGAGCGUUAAUCGGAAUUACUGGGCGUAAAGCGUGCGCAGGCUGUUUUGUAAGUCAGAUGUGAAAUCCCCGAGCUCAACUUGGGAACUGCGUUUGAAACUACAAGACUAGAAUAUGUCAGAGGGGGGUAGAAUUCCACGUGUAGCAGUGAAAUGCGUAGAGAUGUGGAGGAAUAUCAAUGGCGAAGGCAGCCCCCUGGGAUAAUAUUGACGCUCAUGCACGAAAGCGUGGGGAGCAAACAGGAUUAGAUACCCUGGUAGUCCACGCCCUAAACGAUGUCAACUAGUUGUUGGUAGAGUAAAAUCUAUGAGUAACGCAGCUAACGCGUGAAGUUGACCGCCUGGGGAGUACGAUCGCAAGAUUA
RNAcentral lists this ribosomal RNA (371 nucleotides) under uncultured bacterium. RNAcentral describes it as "bacterial SSU rRNA". It matches the Rfam family "Bacterial small subunit ribosomal RNA", at positions 527 to 896 of the family's 1533-position model. The record is from RNAcentral.